ACAAAAAAAAAAAGAAAACCUAGAAACAGAUAAACUAAAGAACAGAGAAAUAUCCAAAUAUCCCGAAACUUAAGAACCCUCAUCGCAUGGAUUUUCACCUCUGCAAUAUUCACAAACCCUAAAAUGUGAAGGGAGGAGGAAGAGGUCGGAGGAGAAAAAACUCAAAAAGGCGUACUCGAAAAUGGGGAAAAGCGUGGAAUUUUUGGUGUGCGCCUUUUUCAGCGUAGUUUGGAAUAAUCCAAUAAUUCCCAACGGGCAAUGAUGGCAGUACCCGAACCCGCAAAUAAUAACUUGACCCGAUGAAGAGCGGGUUUUGAUUGGGGCGGGCUAUUCACAAAAUGUGAAGGGAGGAGGAAGAGGUCGGAGGAGAAAAAACUCAAAAAGGCGUACUCGAAAAUGGGGAAAAGCGUGGAAUUUUUGGUGUGCGCCUUUUUCAGCGUAGUUUGGAAUAAUCCAAUAAUUCCCAACUCCCAACGGGCACCGGCCCGGGAUCGACCCCCGAGAGUGCCGGUGAUAGUGGCAGUGAGGGUGACAGUGAU
This 539-nucleotide long non-coding RNA is filed under the name Arachis ipaensis. RNAcentral describes it as "long non-coding RNA (AIPA_LNC000270)". The record is from RNAcentral. Lineage: Eukaryota; Viridiplantae; Streptophyta; Magnoliopsida; Fabales; Fabaceae.